AGUGAACGCUGGCGGUAGGCCUAACACAUGCAAGUCGAGCGGCAGCACAGUAAGAGCUUGCUCUUACGGGUGGCGAGUGGCGGACGGGUGAGGAAUACAUCGGAAUCUACUUUUUCGUGGGGGAUAACGUAGGGAAACUUACGCUAAUACCGCAUACGACCUACGGGUGAAAGCAGGGGAUCUUCGGACCUUGCGCGAUUGAAUGAGACGAUGUCGGAUUAGCUAGUUGGCGGGGUAAAGGCCCACCAAGGCGACGAUCCGUAGCUGGUCUGAGAGGAUGAUCAGCCACACUGGAACCGAGACACGGUCCAGACUCCUACGGGAGGCAGCAGUGGGGAAUAUUGGACAAUGGGCGCAAGCCUGAUCCAGCCAUACCGCGUGGGUGAAGAAGGCCUUCGGGUUGUAAAGCCCUUUUGUUGGGAAAGAAAAGCAGCAGGUUAAUACCCCGCUGUUCUGACGGUACCCAAAGAAUAAGCACCGGCUAACUUCGUG
This 492-nucleotide ribosomal RNA is filed under the name uncultured bacterium. RNAcentral describes it as "partial 16S ribosomal RNA". It matches the Rfam family "Bacterial small subunit ribosomal RNA", at positions 29 to 507 of the family's 1533-position model. The record is from RNAcentral.